RNAcentral lists this long non-coding RNA (1440 nucleotides) under Sus scrofa (pig). RNAcentral's name for it is "lncRNA (ENSSSCG00030048404.1)". The record is from RNAcentral. Lineage: Eukaryota; Metazoa; Chordata; Mammalia; Artiodactyla; Suidae.
AUGGCGGCUCUUACAAGUUAAUUGGGUUCAUUACAGCAGGAAAGGAAUCCGAAAGAGAGAUUGGGACAAAAAUACCUCCACCAAAAUGUUAUAGUGCAUUUAAAUUGGAAGGAGGAGCUCUUGCCUGUUCCCCAGACACUGAGGAGAAAGGAGACAGACAGUUGAGAAUUUCCUGGGCUCAUCCAUUUCUUUCCUUUUCACUCCACAUCUGUGGAAGGGACUGGCUACCGCAUCUUAACAUCUCAUUUGAAAGGAGAAAGAACUGUCGUUUAGAAUUGUGGUUGAUUCCAGCAACACUGACACAACCUUACUGUAUAUAAUAUAUAAUGAACAUAAUGAAUGGAAUCUCUGAAGACCCCCCCAAACAAGAUGCCUCAUUAAUAAUUGAAAUUUUGAAAUAAGAAAAUUAUGCCUGCACUGGGGCCACAACUUCCUCUUUUCUGUUUAUCUUCUCCGCAAAGACAUCAGUCUACUUGUCCCACAAGCAUUUGCAUCAUGAAAGUUGCUCUUUAAACAUAAUUCAAGUCCUGAAGAAUACUGGGAAGAACAGGUGAGAACUUUCAUCUAAACUGAAUUCCAUAAACAUCUUGGGGGACCAGCUUUGUUGAAAUGUCCAGGUCACUUUUUUCAUCUUAAAUGAGUAAAAGUGAAGAGGCAUUUUUAAGGACAACAUAAUGAUACAAUAGUGUUUUAGAAUUUUUAAAUUUAAUAGUAUUAGUAAUUCUGAUCACUCUAUGUGUUAGAAUAGAUACUGUUUUACCAAGGAGGGACAUGAUUAGGCAUAAUGAGCACCAUCGGCAGAACAGGGAAUAGGGUAAAGCGAGUGAGGUACCACAGUGCUUGUCCUGGUGAUUAAGAAGUGGGUGAAUGAGACAAGCUGGGUGGGAAUAGCCUUAUCCCCUAAACUUUUCAGGUAACUAUUGCCAAAUCCAGUUAACUGAAAAAUAUGAAGAUGGGAGACACAGGUUUUAGAGGGAAGAGUGGUGUGACCAAUUUAGAAAACAUUUUUUUUUCCUUCCUCUUUGUCUUUUUAGGGCCACACCUGUGGCAUAUGGAAGUUCCUAGGCUAAGGGUCUAAUCGGAGCUGUAGCUGCCGGCCUAUACCACAGCCACAGCAACUCGGGAUCUGAGCCGCAUCUGUGACCUACACCAUAGCCAACAGCAAUGCCAGAUCCUUAACCCACUGAGCGAGGCCAGGGAUUGAACCCGAGUCCUCACAGAUAUGAGUCGAGUUUGUUACCACUGAGCCACAAUGGGAACUCCUUAGAAAACAUUAUGUUUGGACUUGAUUGUAAGAGGCAACAUUGGGGAAGUCAGAUAAAAGAGAUGAAAAAGGGAUGAUUAAUUCCUGAAAAAUUUUCUGUCCUAUUUGAGGUCAUAAAUAUUUUCUUCUUGAAGGAAAAGACUAAUAAAAGUCAUUCUGCUAAAGAGUGUAAUUCA